Molecule: ribosomal RNA, 845 nt
Filed under: bacterium STEN-136
Lineage: Bacteria
Description: bacterial SSU rRNA
Rfam family: Bacterial small subunit ribosomal RNA
Source: RNAcentral
AGUGGCGAACGGGUGAGUAACACGUGAGUAACCUGCCCCUGACUCUGGGAUAAGCGUUGGAAACGACGUCUAAUACUGGAUAUGAUCACUGGCCGCAUGGUCUGGUGGUGGAAAGAUUUUUUGGUUGGGGAUGGACUCGCGGCCUAUCAGCUUGUUGGUGAGGUAAUGGCUCACCAAGGCGACGACGGGUAGCCGGCCUGAGAGGGUGACCGGCCACACUGGGACUGAGACACGGCCCAGACUCCUACGGGAGGCAGCAGUGGGGAAUAUUGCACAAUGGGCGAAAGCCUGAUGCAGCAACGCCGCGUGAGGGAUGACGGCCUUCGGGUUGUAAACCUCUUUUAGUAGGGAAGAAGCGAAAGUGACGGUACCUGCAGAAAAAGCACCGGCUAACUACGUGCCAGCAGCCGCGGUAAUACGUAGGGUGCAAGCGUUGUCCGGAAUUAUUGGGCGUAAAGAGCUCGUAGGCGGUUUGUCGCGUCUGCUGUGAAAUCCCGAGGCUCAACCUCGGGCUUGCAGUGGGUACGGGCAGACUAGAGUGCGGUAGGGGAGAUUGGAAUUCCUGGUGUAGCGGUGGAAUGCGCAGAUAUCAGGAGGAACACCGAUGGCGAAGGCAGAUCUCUGGGCCGUAACUGACGCUGAGGAGCGAAAGCAUGGGGAGCGAACAGGAUUAGAUACCCUGGUAGUCCAUGCCGUAAACGUUGGGCGCUAGAUGUAGGGACCUUUCCACGGUUUCUGUGUCGUAGCUAACGCAUUAAGCGCCCCGCCUGGGGAGUACGGCCGCAAGGCUAAAACUCAAAGGAAUUGAAGGGGGCCCGCACAAGCGGCGGAGCAUGCGGAUUAUU